This 117-nucleotide ribosomal RNA is filed under the name Danio rerio (zebrafish). The record is from RNAcentral. Lineage: Eukaryota; Metazoa; Chordata; Actinopteri; Cypriniformes; Danionidae.
UUUAAUAUUUAAAGGCUCUCUGCAACUCUCACAUGGUUGCCCACUAAAGCUAAGAGGGCUGUGCCCGGUUAGUACCUGGAUGGAAGACCAAAUGGGAAAACUAGGUUGCUGCUAGAA